RNAcentral lists this ribosomal RNA (280 nucleotides) under uncultured bacterium. Its description in RNAcentral is "partial 16S ribosomal RNA". It matches the Rfam family "Bacterial small subunit ribosomal RNA", at positions 30 to 306 of the family's 1533-position model. The record is from RNAcentral.
AUUGAACGCUGGCGGCAGGCCUAACACAUGCAAGUCGAACGGUAGCACAGAGAGCUUGCUCUCGGGUGACGAGUGGCGGACGGGUGAGUAAUGUCUGGGAAACUGCCCGAUGGAGGGGGAUAACUACUGGAAACGGUAGCUAAUACCGCAUAAUGUCUGCGGACCAAAGCGGGGGACCUCCGGGCCUCGCGCCAUCAGAUGUGCCCAGAUGGGAUUAGCUAGUAGGUGGGGUAAUGGCUCACCUAGGCGACGAUCCCUAGCUGGUCUGAGAGGAUGACCA